GAAAUGCGAUAAGUAAUGUGAAUUGCAGAAUUCAGUGAAUCAUCGAAUCUUUGAACGCAUCUUGCGCUCCUUGGUAUUCUGAGGAGCAUGCCUGUUUGAGUGUCAUUCAAGUUCUCAUCCACAUUGAUUAUUUUUUGAUGUGGCUUGGAUUGUGGGGGGUGCAGGCUUUUGAAAAUGAAGUCGGCUCCCCUGAAAUGCAUUAGUAGUAUCUGAGCAGAGAAAAACUACUACAGGUGUGAUAAUUUAUCUAUGCCUUGGUGUUGCUGCAUGAAAUCAGAUUGCACUGCUUCUAAUCUAAUGAGUGGUGAAAACCAUUGUUCUGAUGAAUUUGACCUCAAAUCAGGUAGGACUACCCGCUGAACUUAA
RNAcentral lists this ribosomal RNA (366 nucleotides) under Inocybe sp. 9-323. RNAcentral describes it as "eukaryotic LSU rRNA". The stretch from base 1 to 105 matches the Rfam family "5.8S ribosomal RNA", at positions 50 to 154 of the family's 154-position model. Lineage: Eukaryota; Fungi; Basidiomycota; Agaricomycetes; Agaricales; Inocybaceae. The record is from RNAcentral.